This is a non-coding RNA of Styela clava, 1340 nucleotides long. The record is from RefSeq and is a predicted model, not a curated record. Lineage: Eukaryota; Metazoa; Chordata; Ascidiacea; Stolidobranchia; Styelidae.
GUCACUUUUAGAUUCUUGGCAACCGGAGACUCUUAUCGGACUAUUGCCAAUAGUUAUCGUUUAGGGAUUUCCACUGGUUUCCUUCAUUGUACCAGAUACAUGCAGAGGCAUUUGGGACACACUCCAACCAAUGGUUUUGCAAUGCCCAUCCACCCAAGCUGCAUGGACAACAAUUGGGAAUGAGUUUGAAGCGAGGUGGCAAUUCCCGAAUUGUUUAGGUGCCAUUGAUGGCAAACAUGUCAUCAUUCAAGCCCCAAACAAUUCGGGAUCCAUGUUUUUUAAUUAUAAGAAGACGCACAGCAUUGUGUUGAUGGCUGUGGUGGAUGCAAAUUAAAAAUUUGUGGCAGUCGACGUUGGAGGGUAUGGGAGGAGCAGUGAUGGGGGUAUAUUUGCUGACUCCUGUUUUGGCAGAAGAUUGGCCAAUGGUACCCUCAAUCUUCCUAAUCCUAGGCCAUUGGGAAGGACGAGUCAUGGAGACUGCACCCCAUUUGUAUUUGUAGCUGAUGAGGCAUUCCCUUUAAAGGAAAAUAUUAUGAGACCAUAUGGUGGGAACAACCUGAACUCAAAACAGAAAAUAUACAACUACAGGUUGUCAAGGGCUCGCCGAAUGGUAGAGAGUGUUUUUGAAAUACUUUCCAACCAAUGGAGAGUAUUCCAUAGGGUAAUGCCUCUUCAGCCUACAAAUGCUGAUGGGGUUGGUGAAGGCUACCUGUUGCCUCCAUAACUUUUUGAGGAAAAUAGAAAAUCAGCCAGAAGGAGUGCAGGAAGCUUCCUCAGAAGCUGACAACAAUACAUUACUGAGAAGUUUGUCACAGAUUGGGGGUCGUGCAACAUCCCGGGCGAUUGCUACAAGGGAAUCGUACACUGAUUUCCUUAGUGGCCAAGGAGCUAUUGGAUGGCAAAAUGACCAAGUUUGAAGGUGAUCAGAUCAAUAUUACGCAAUAAACAUCACUAAUAUAUCGAGGUUGAAGUUGCAUAUCUUGUUGCGUCAUUGUGUGCCACCCCCCAUCUAGCAUUCAAAUAUAUUCGUAACACAUAAAAGUACUACAAACCAGUAUAUAUUUCAGCAUGUAUCUAAUCUGUAUUAAAUUCUAGAUGAAACAAAACUUCUUGAAUUUCAAUCUAUGCAUGCUGAAAUUUUUUAUUUGGCAACCGUCUAAAUGUCUGCACAAGCGAUUGGGCAAAUAUUUCAGCAUCAUCUUGUUCUGGAAAAAACAAAAAAAACAUUUAGAGGAGUAGCUACUGUUUCUUCAUUAUGUGUAUCUUUCCUGCAAUUAUACUGUUCAUUUCAAAUAAUUCUAAUUAUCGAUAUCUUUACUUUUUUGUAUAUCAGAGUUUUG